This is an unclassified non-coding RNA of Macaca fascicularis (crab-eating macaque), 148 nucleotides long. It matches the Rfam family "Metazoan signal recognition particle RNA". From Rfam's summary of the family: The signal recognition particle (SRP) is a universally conserved ribonucleoprotein. NCBI's taxonomy places the organism in Eukaryota, Metazoa, Chordata, Mammalia, Primates, Cercopithecidae. The record is from Ensembl.
GCCGGGCGUGGUGGUGGGCGCCUGUAGUCCCAGCUACUCGGGAGGCUGAGGCAGGAGAAUCGCUUGAACCCAGGAGGUAGAGCUUGCAGUGAGCCGAGAUCGCACCAUUGCACUCCAGCCUGGGUGACAGAGCGAGACCCUGUCUCAA